This 1669-nucleotide unclassified non-coding RNA is filed under the name Cimex lectularius (bed bug). Its description in RNAcentral is "serine/threonine-protein phosphatase alpha-2 isoform- like, transcript variant X2". The record is from RNAcentral. Lineage: Eukaryota; Metazoa; Arthropoda; Insecta; Hemiptera; Cimicidae.
UAUUUUUGUUUAUUUUGAUAAAAAUGUCAAAGAUUAAAUGUUAAAAAAAAUUCAAUUCCAGAAGUUGUUAAAAUAGGACAAUGGAUAUACUUAUACAAAAAUGUCGAAUUAAAUCAACUUAUUUAGUCAAAUUUCAGGAUAAUAUUGUAAAUAAAAAGAAAAUUGGAAAAGAGGGCAGCUGGGCAGUAUUCCGAGAGGCGAUUCAGUGUUGAGGAGUGCGGUUCUUACCACGACUCGUUUUUACCGGUCGACAUUUUUAAACCCCUGCACGUUUACAUAACAUUUCCAUGGCAAUGCAAGUUCAAAUUAAAUUGCAAGUCCUGAAAUUUUCACGCAAAAUUCUUAAAUGUAGUAAAAAUUCUUAAAGACACAACACGUAACACAAGCAGACCGGGAAACAGUCAUGGCCGAGAGUGACAAAUUGAAUAUCGACACGGUGAUAACUCGUCUCCUGGAGGUGAGGGGCGCCCGCCCGGGCAAAACCGUCCAGCUAAUGGAAAGCGAAAUCCGUGGGCUUUGCCUGAAAUCCAGGGAAAUCUUCUUGUCACAGCCGAUACUCUUGGAAUUGGAGGCUCCAUUGAAGAUCUGCGGCGACACGCACGGUCAGUACUACGACCUUUUGCGUUUAUUCGAGUACGGCGGUUUCCCACCGGAAGCGAAUUACCUGUUUUUGGGAGACUACGUCGACAGAGGGAAGCAAUCCCUGGAGACCAUCUGCCUUUUGUUGGCUUACAAGAUCAAGUACCCGGAGAACUUCUUUCUCUUGCGAGGAAACCACGAGUGCGCUAGCAUCAACCGUAUCUACGGGUUUUACGACGAGUGUAAGAGACGGUACAACAUCAAACUGUGGAAAACGUUCACGGAUUGUUUCAACUGCCUGCCCGUCGCGGCUAUAGUGGACGAGAAGAUAUUUUGUUGUCACGGAGGGCUCAGCCCGGACUUGCAAAGUAUGGAACAGAUACGUAGAAUUAUGAGACCGACGGAUGUUCCUGACCAGGGUUUGCUUUGUGAUUUGUUGUGGUCGGACCCCGAUAAAGACACAAUGGGUUGGGGCGAGAAUGACAGAGGGGUCUCUUUCACGUUUGGUGCAGAAGUUAUCGCCAAAUUUCUUCAUAAACACGACCUCGAUCUGAUCUGCAGGGCACAUCAAGUCGUAGAGGACGGAUACGAAUUUUUCGCGAAGAGACAGCUGGUCACCGUGUUCUCGGCACCGAAUUACUGCGGAGAGUUUGACAACGCAGGCGCCAUGAUGUCGGUAGACGAAACAUUGAUGUGUUCAUUUCAAAUAUUGAAACCAGCGGACAAGAGGAAAUACACUAUCGGAGCGGCGCAUUAAUAAGGAAGUACCAAAUACUAAUUGAAAAUUAUAAUUAUCAACUGAUUCAUUCACAUUUGGAAACCUCCUUUGUUAUAUUGACCGGUUGUUCAAUAAUUUGAUGAAGUUGUGAGGAGCGAUCAGGAAUGAAGUAUUUUAGAAAAACAACUUUUUCAUUCUUGUACUGACGUUUCGAACUAUUUUCGCGUCAUCAUGAUUCGUUACCGCGUCCCCGACCUUGUCAAAAUCAUAUAAACACAAAUUCACAUUUCACAACAAUUUCAUACGAAACAAAUAAGACACCAGGAGGAAAGCACCUCAUUUUAUGCCCUGAAGAUGACCCGAAUAAAGGUU